UUGGGUGCCGUAAUAGUUAGUAUACCAUCCGAGGAGAGGGUCGAGGUGACGUUGACGAGGUCGUGAGAUGGGGGCAGGACGUAUCUGCGUACGAAGUGUCUGCUGACGUAGCCGUGCUCGUCUUGCUUCUCCUCGUGUUUGGCCUCGAUAAUAACGUGGUUGUCGGCCGUCUUCACCGUGAUCUCAUCCGGAUCCUCUUUCCACGAACGUCUUCGGAGGACCGAAAUUUUGCGUUCUCUCUCUCUCUCUCACUCUUUCACUGUCAAGGGAGCAUGGAUUAGUACAGCGAAGCGCAUGCACACACAGAGACACACCGACCAUCGUCCGACCAUGCGCCGCCCGUAGACCAAAAGUUAAGUAUCGAUCGCUUCAGAGCGAGCUUGCUUUCCGAGGAUGAUCGUCGAAAUUGAGCGAUAACGCCCUUCUCUUUAUUUUCUCUCGCAUUGCGCGUCAACGUUUCUCGCGUUUCUUUCCCUUGGUUCUCCCGUUUUACCGGCUAACCAAAUUCUUCUGUGGAAGGGGAUCACGAACGCGGUUUCGUAGCGCGUAUACUGUACCGAAACGCAGAGAGCUACUUUACGCACAAUCAUUCCGGCUGACCAUCUGGAGCGCCUCGCGCGCCUGGUUUACACUCGUUCUUCCAAGUUUCCGCGUUAGGGAACCGCCGGGACCGGUCCCGAUCAGACCACGGUAGUUGGAGUUUCCACGACGAAGGAGGAAAAUGACAAUUCGGCCAACGCAGUAGAUCCGUCGAGCGUCUGCUAGCGCAUCCGGAACAGACGUUCUCUUUUCAUUACGACUUCCGUCACUUUUUCUUUCAUGUAAUCUCCCGUCCGCGUCUCUUAGAUCAUCGCGUUAUGGUACAAAAGCAAACCGGGAAGAUGUAGUUGCCGGGCCCACCUACUUGUGUGAGACUGUUCCUUUUUUUUUGACGACCAAAAAAAACGAGCAUACAUACAAGUAGGUGAUCUUUUUUAUCGGUGAUCGCGCACGGUCGUGACGGGAGCGAUCGGUCGCGACUGCGGUGGCCGAUCGCCUUUUCGCGGCCAGCGGCUCACUUUAACAAAAGUGCAAAAAAGAAACAGAAAACGAUCAAUAACAAAAAGUAAUUUACCAAAAAACAAUAAAAAAAGACCGAAACAGAAAAUGGUUUAGACUUUCGUGUAGAACGAGGAAGCUUCAACGAUCGACGGUAGGGUAGGCGAGCCGAGUCUUUCCGCGUGAUUCUGGAGCUCGGUGAGCGCGAGCGCGAAGAGAAUAGUGGAGGAUGAUUCGCUGUGCAUUUGGAAAAUAGCGUCAGACGGAGAGUAGAGGAGCAGAAGCCAAAACAGAGAAGGGGA
Harpegnathos saltator (Jerdon's jumping ant) is the source of this 1340-nucleotide long non-coding RNA. RefSeq lists it as uncharacterized. NCBI's taxonomy places the organism in Eukaryota, Metazoa, Arthropoda, Insecta, Hymenoptera, Formicidae. The transcript is spliced from 2 exons. The record is from RefSeq and is a predicted model, not a curated record.